ACAAAGGCUCUUUUAAGGGCUACCACAUAAUCCUGCAAAGGAACUAU
Molecule: non-coding RNA, 47 nt
Organism: Chelonia mydas (Green sea turtle)
Lineage: Eukaryota; Metazoa; Chordata; Testudines; Cheloniidae
Source: Rfam